Molecule: non-coding RNA, 100 nt
Filed under: Bifidobacterium animalis
Lineage: Bacteria; Bacillati; Actinomycetota; Actinomycetes; Bifidobacteriales; Bifidobacteriaceae
Also listed under: 1 other name
Description: TPP sequence
Rfam family: TPP riboswitch aptamer (THI element)
About the family: Vitamin B(1) in its active form thiamin pyrophosphate (TPP) is an essential coenzyme that is synthesised by coupling of pyrimidine and thiazole moieties in bacteria. The previously detected thiamin-regulatory element, thi box was extended, resulting in a new, highly conserved RNA secondary structure, the THI element, which is widely distributed in eubacteria and also occurs in some archaea.
Source: RNAcentral
ACGAAGAUGCGGGGGGACUCAGACGAGUUGAGAACGCGACAGCGUGACCCUUUGAACCUGUUGGCUAACACCUACGUAGGGAGACAUCAUAUGGCGAAAU